CUGGGGUGUUUGCAGUUGGUUUUUGAUUAUGAAUAAUGCUGUGAUAAACAUCUCUGAGUUUUCCUUUUGCAAGUUGCCCAUCCAGUGGAGGGAAUGAGCUCCCUGCUGCUGGGGCAUACAAGGAGAAGCCAGACAAGCACUGGGAAGGUUCAAGCAAGGACCUGAGCCUCAGAGAAGGAUCAGCUAUAGCAGUGGCUCUCAAUUCUGCUGGGAUGGACAUUACAGAAGCCGUUCAGUCACGUAACACAUUCUUAGAGCUAUACCUCACAAUUCCAGGGUAUUUACUGGCUGAAACUCAGGCCCUUUCUCUCCCAUUGAUGUAUGGGCUGGAGGUGAGUGCAAGCGAUGCUGCAGCAAGGAUGACUCCGACAUGGCCAGGUUGAUUUGGAAAUGAAGAACAUCACAUGUGCAAGCGAUGCUGCAGCAAGGAUGACUCCGACGUGGCCAGAUUGAUUUGGAAAUGAAGAACAUCACAUGUGCAAGCGAUGCUGCAGCAAGGAUGACUCCGACGUGGCCAGGUUGAUUUGGAAAUGAAGAACAUCACAUGUGCAAGCGAUGCUGCAGCAAGGAUGACUCCGACGUGGCCAGGUUGAUUUGGAAAUGAAGAACAUCACAUGUGCAAGCGAUGCUGCAGCAAGGAUGACUCCGACGUGGCCAGGUUGAUUUGGAAAUGAAGAACAUCACAUGUGCAAGCGAUGCUGCAGCAAGGAUGACUCCGACGUGGCCAGGUUGAUUUGGAAAUGAAGAACAUCACAUGUGCAAGCGAUGCUGCAGCAAGGAUGACUCCGACGUGGCCAGAUUGAUUUGGAAAUGAAGAACAUCACAUGUAGUUUGGGGCACAUCCUCGUCAGGGUCACAUGUGCACAGCCCACAGGUGGUCCUGGCCCUCCCUGGGUGGGUCUUCACUCUGGCCAAGAUGAUCUCCAAGGUCUCCCCAGGCUGGAAGCUCCGAUGCCUGCCCAGGGGCUGCUGCCCUCCGCCCAGAGCCUGACACACUAGAAGGGCCUCUGCUCCCAGGGGAGGGAACGAAUGCCCCCUGUUGACUUUAUCACAUCACCCCUCACCACUCCACGGGGGCUCUCUGUGGUGCCCCAACCCAGGCCACCCCUGCUUUCAUCUCCCUCGCUGUGCCAAGGCUGAAAGGCUGUGCAUCCACUCAGCUUGCUCUCUGCCUUCUGGCUGGACCCAGGUCUGUCUGAUUCUUUUUGUUUGUUUGUCUUGCUCUGUCGCCCAAGCUGGAGUACAGUGGCGUGAUCAUAGCUCAUGGCAGCCUCGACCUCCUGGACUCAAGCAAUCCUCCCACCUCAGCCUGUCAAGUAGCUGGGACUAUAGGCAGGCACCACCAUGCCUAGCUAAUUUUUUGAUUUUGUAGAGACGAGGUCUCACUAUGUUUCCCAGGCUGUUUUCAAACUCCUGGCCUCAAGCAAUCCUUCCACCUCGGCCUCCUAAAGUGUUAGGAUUACAGGCAUGAGCCACUGUGCCUGGCCAGGACUGUCUCAUUCUAAAGCCCUAAUCACCAAACUUCCUGCCGGGCACCAUCUGAGCUCCCCACCAGCUGGAAUCCACCUGGAUGCCCACACUCUAGUCCCUACCCUCCAAGCGUUGUCCUUUGGUGUCUCCUGGCUACACGCAUGCAGGCUUAUGUGACCUCUCCUACCCAUCAGACAGUAUAACAACACAUCAAAGACGCUGGAGUUGGCCAUGUACCGGCACCGCCUGGUGGUCAGUGGCAUGAAUGCUGCGGGCACGCUGUCUGGGUGGAAAUUCUGUCUUGACCACUGAGCCCCUGGACAAGUUACUUAACCUCAUCC
Molecule: long non-coding RNA, 1811 nt
Filed under: Homo sapiens (human)
Lineage: Eukaryota; Metazoa; Chordata; Mammalia; Primates; Hominidae
Description: HSALNT0152881
Source: RNAcentral